Molecule: transfer RNA, 67 nt
Filed under: Chrysomeloidea sp. 2 KM-2017
Lineage: Eukaryota; Metazoa; Arthropoda; Insecta; Coleoptera
Description: tRNA-Ser
Source: RNAcentral
GGAAUUUGGGAUCCAAGAAUAAGCUUCUAACUUAAUUCUUUAGCGAUGAAACUUCGUUUAUAUUCCU